UCGAGAAUUUUUCACAAUGGGCGAAAGCCUGAUGGAGCGACGCCGCGUGGGGGAUGAAUGGCUUCGGCCCGUAAACCCCUGUCAUUCGCGAGCAAACGUUAUUAUUUAAAAGAUGAUAGCCUGAUAGUAGCGAAAGAGGAAGGGACGGCUAACUCUGUGCCAGCAGCCGCGGUAAUACAGAGGUCCCAAGCGUUGUUCGGAUUUACUGGGCGUAAAGGGUGCGUAGGUGGUGGGGGUAAGUCGGAUGUGAAAUCUCCGAGCUCAACUCGGAAAGUGCAUUGGAAACUACCCUGCUCGAGGGUUGGAGGGGGGACUGGAAUACUUGGUGUAGCAGUGAAAUGCGUAGAUAUCAAGUGGAACACCAGUGGCGUAGGCGAGUCCCUGGACAACUCCUGACACUGAGGCACGAAAGCUAGGGGAGCAAACAG
This 428-nucleotide ribosomal RNA is filed under the name uncultured bacterium. RNAcentral describes it as "bacterial SSU rRNA". It matches the Rfam family "Bacterial small subunit ribosomal RNA", at positions 355 to 775 of the family's 1533-position model. The record is from RNAcentral.